Molecule: ribosomal RNA, 301 nt
Filed under: uncultured bacterium
Lineage: Bacteria
Description: partial 16S ribosomal RNA
Rfam family: Bacterial small subunit ribosomal RNA
Source: RNAcentral
CAGUAGCCACGGGAAUACGUAGGUGGCAAGCGUUGUCCGGAAUUAUUGGGCGUAAAGGGCUCGCAGGCGGUUUCUUAAGUCUGAUGUGAAAGCCCCCGGCUCAACCGGGGAGGGUCAUUGGAAACUGGGAAACUUGAGUGCAGAAGAGGAGAGUGGAAUUCCACGUGUAGCGGUGAAAUGCGUAGAGAUGUGGAGGAACACCAGUGGCGAAGGCGGCUCUCUGGUCUGUAACUGACGCUGAGGAGCGAAAGCGUGGGGAGCGAACAGGAUUAGAUACCCGCGUAGUCCCUGUCUCUUAUAC